RNAcentral lists this ribosomal RNA (47 nucleotides) under Ficus virens. RNAcentral describes it as "partial 18S ribosomal RNA". The record is from RNAcentral. Lineage: Eukaryota; Viridiplantae; Streptophyta; Magnoliopsida; Rosales; Moraceae.
GUGUAACAAGGUUUCCGUAGGUGAACCUGCGGAAGGAUCAUUGUCGA